This 1507-nucleotide ribosomal RNA is filed under the name Staphylococcus aureus. Its description in RNAcentral is "partial 23S ribosomal RNA". It matches the Rfam family "Bacterial large subunit ribosomal RNA", at positions 1 to 1508 of the family's 2925-position model. Lineage: Bacteria; Bacillati; Bacillota; Bacilli; Caryophanales; Staphylococcaceae. The record is from RNAcentral.
GAUUAAGUUAUUAAGGGCGCACGGUGGAUGCCUUGGCACUAGAAGCCGAUGAAGGACGUUACUAACGACGAUAUGCUUUGGGGAGCUGUAAGUAAGCUUUGAUCCAGAGAUUUCCGAAUGGGGAAACCCAGCAUGAGUUAUGUCAUGUUAUCGAUAUGUGAAUACAUAGCAUAUCAGAAGGCACACCCGGAGAACUGAAACAUCUUAGUACCCGGAGGAAGAGAAAGAAAAUUCGAUUCCCUUAGUAGCGGCGAGCGAAACGGGAAGAGCCCAAACCAACAAGCUUGCUUGUUGGGGUUGUAGGACACUCUAUACGGAGUUACAAAGGACGACAUUAGACGAAUCAUCUGGAAAGAUGAAUCAAAGAAGGUAAUAAUCCUGUAGUCGAAAAUGUUGUCUCUCUUGAGUGGAUCCUGAGUACGACGGAGCACGUGAAAUUCCGUCGGAAUCUGGGAGGACCAUCUCCUAAGGCUAAAUACUCUCUAGUGACCGAUAGUGAACCAGUACCGUGAGGGAAAGGUGAAAAGCACCCCGGAAGGGGAGUGAAAUAGAACCUGAAACCGUGUGCUUACAAGUAGUCAGAGCCCGUUAAUGGGUGAUGGCGUGCCUUUUGUAGAAUGAACCGGCGAGUUACGAUUUGAUGCAAGGUUAAGCAGUAAAUGUGGAGCCGUAGCGAAAGCGAGUCUGAAUAGGGCGUUUAGUAUUUGGUCGUAGACCCGAAACCAGGUGAUCUACCCUUGGUCAGGUUGAAGUUCAGGUAACACUGAAUGGAGGACCGAACCGACUUACGUUGAAAAGUGAGCGGAUGAACUGAGGGUAGCGGAGAAAUUCCAAUCGAACCUGGAGAUAGCUGGUUCUCUCCGAAAUAGCUUUAGGGCUAGCCUCAAGUGAUGAUUAUUGGAGGUAGAGCACUGUUUGGACGAGGGGCCCCUCUCGGGUUACCGAAUUCAGACAAACUCCGAAUGCCAAUUAAUUUAACUUGGGAGUCAGAACAUGGGUGAUAAGGUCCGUGUUCGAAAGGGAAACAGCCCAGACCACCAGCUAAGGUCCCAAAAUAUAUGUUAAGUGGAAAAGGAUGUGGCGUUGCCCAGACAACUAGGAUGUUGGCUUAGAAGCAGCCAUCAUUUAAAGAGUGCGUAAUAGCUCACUAGUCGAGUGACACUGCGCCGAAAAUGUACCGGGGCUAAACAUAUUACCGAAGCUGUGGAUUGUCCUUUGGACAAUGGUAGGAGAGCGUUCUAAGGGCGUUGAAGCAUGAUCGUAAGGACAUGUGGAGCGCUUAGAAGUGAGAAUGCCGGUGUGAGUAGCGAAAGACGGGUGAGAAUCCCGUCCACCGAUUGACUAAGGUUUCCAGAGGAAGGCUCGUCCGCUCUGGGUUAGUCGGGUCCUAAGCUGAGGCCGACAGGCGUAGGCGAUGGAUAACAGGUUGAUAUUCCUGUACCACCUAUAAUCGUUUUAAUCGAUGGGGGGACGCAGUAGGAUAGGCGAAGCGUGCGAUUGGAUUGCA